AUUGAACGCUGGCGGCAGGCCUAACACAUGCAAGUCGAACGGUAACAGGAAGAAGCUUGCUUCUUUGCUGACGAGUGGCGGACGGGUGAGUAAUGUCUGGGAAACUGCCUGAUGGAGGGGGAUAACUACUGGAAACGGUAGCUAAUACCGCAUAACGUCGCAAGACCAAAGAGGGGGACCUUCGGGCCUCUUGCCAUCGGAUGUGCCCAGAUGGGAUUAGCUAGUAGGUGGGGUAACGGCUCACCUAGGCGACGAUCCCUAGCUGGUCUGAGAGGAUGACCGGCCACACUGGAACUGAGGCACGGUCCAGACUCCUACGGGAGGCAGCAGUGGGGAAUAUUGCACAAUGGUCGCAAGCCUGAUGCAGCCAUGCCGCGUGUAUGAAGAAGGCCUUCGGGUUGUAAAGUACUUUCAGCGGGGAGGAAGGGAGUAAAGUUAAUACCUUUGCUCAUUGACGUUACCCGCAGAAGAAGCACCGGCUAACUCCGUG
RNAcentral lists this ribosomal RNA (490 nucleotides) under uncultured bacterium. RNAcentral describes it as "partial 16S ribosomal RNA". It matches the Rfam family "Bacterial small subunit ribosomal RNA", at positions 30 to 507 of the family's 1533-position model. The record is from RNAcentral.